Molecule: ribosomal RNA, 784 nt
Filed under: Lentilactobacillus buchneri
Lineage: Bacteria; Bacillati; Bacillota; Bacilli; Lactobacillales; Lactobacillaceae
Description: bacterial SSU rRNA
Rfam family: Bacterial small subunit ribosomal RNA
Source: RNAcentral
AGUUUGAUCCUGGCUCAGGACGAACGCUGGCGGCGUGCCUAAUACAUGCAAGUCGAACGCGUCUCCGUUAAUGAUUUUAGGUGCUUGCACUUGAAAGAUUUAACAUUGAGACGAGUGGCGAACUGGUGAGUAACACGUGGGUAACCUGCCCUUGAAGUAGGGGAUAACACUUGGAAACAGGUGCUAAUACCGUAUAACAACCAAAACCACCUGGUUUUGGUUUAAAAGACGGCUUCGGCUGUCACUUUAGGAUGGACCCGCGGCGUAUUAGCUUGUUGGUAAGGUAACGGCUUACCAAGGCGAUGAUACGUAGCCGACCUGAGAGGGUAAUCGGCCACAUUGGGACUGAGACACGGCCCAAACUCCUACGGGAGGCAGCAGUAGGGAAUCUUCCACAAUGGACGAAAGUCUGAUGGAGCAACGCCGCGUGAGUGAUGAAGGGUUUCGGCUCGUAAAACUCUGUUGUUGGAGAAGAACAGGUGUCAGAGUAACUGUUGACAUCUUGACGGUAUCCAACCAGAAAGCCACGGCUAACUACGUGCCAGCAGCCGCGGUAAUACGUAGGUGGCAAGCGUUGUCCGGAUUUAUUGGGCGUAAAGCGAGCGCAGGCGGUUUUUUAGGUCUGAUGUGAAAGCCUUCGGCUUAACCGGAGAAGUGCAUCGGAAACCGGGAGACUUGAGUGCAGAAGAGGACAGUGGAACUCCAUGUGUAGCGGUGAAAUGCGUAGAUAUAUGGAAGAACACCAGUGGCGAAGGCGGCUGUCUGGUCUGUAACUGACGCUGAG